Molecule: non-coding RNA, 130 nt
Organism: Brachypodium distachyon (stiff brome)
Lineage: Eukaryota; Viridiplantae; Streptophyta; Magnoliopsida; Poales; Poaceae
Source: Rfam
GUUCUACUCCCUCCGUCCAACAAAAGAUGUCUCAAGUUUGUCAAAAAUUGGAUGUAUCUAGACAUGACUUAGUGUAGCAUUCAAAUUUAGUCAAAUUUGAGACAUCCUUUGUUGGAUGGAGGAAUAUAUG